UAGCGGCGGACGGGUGAGUAACGCGUGAGCAACCUGUCCCUUACAGGGGAUAACACAGCGAAAGUUGUACUAAUACCGCAUGAGACCACGGUGAGACAUCUCACAGGGGUCAAAGGAGCAAUCCGGUAAGGGGUGGGCUCGCGUCCGAUUAGAUAGUUGGUGAGGUAACGGCCCACCAAGUCAACGAUCGGUAGCCGACCUGAGAGGGUGAUCGGCCACAUUGGGACUGAGACACGGCCCAAACUCCGUACGGGAGGCAGCAGUGGGGAAUAUUGGGCAAAAUGGGGGGAACCCUGACCCAGCAACGCCGCGUGAGGGAAGAAGGUUUUCGGAUCGUAAACCUCUGUCCUUGGUGAAGAGGAAGAGACGGUAGCCAAGGAGGAAGCCCCGGCUAACUACGUGCCAGCCGCGGC
Molecule: ribosomal RNA, 413 nt
Filed under: uncultured bacterium
Lineage: Bacteria
Description: bacterial SSU rRNA
Rfam family: Bacterial small subunit ribosomal RNA
Source: RNAcentral